GUGCUUGCUUCGGCAGCACAUAUACUAAAAUUGGAACGAUACAGAGAAGAUUAGCAUGGCCCCUGUACAAGAAUGACAUGCAAAUUCGUGAAGCAUUCCAUAUUUUU
RNAcentral lists this small nuclear RNA (107 nucleotides) under Panthera leo (lion). The record is from RNAcentral. Lineage: Eukaryota; Metazoa; Chordata; Mammalia; Carnivora; Felidae.